GUACAAUAAUCAAAACCCCAUCAACAAUUGCAAGGCUAUAAAAAAUGUCAAUGAGAGACAAGAAGAGAAAAAGAAAUUACAUAUGAGAGAUUAAUUCAAAAAAAAUGAAAUGCAAAAUGGCCACAAUCCAAAGAAAACAAAAGCACUUCCAUAGGAGAUCUAUCCAUACUGGGCAACUUGUUGGAUACAAACAUGCCUAACAGAUCCAAAAUCUUCACUCAUAUUUAAUAGGCGCCAAGAACUGCCAAUAUGCCAUUAGACAUGAGCUGGAUAGAUAACACUCAUAAUCAAAAUAAAGAAAAAUAAUCCUAAAACUCUAUGAGAAGUUAUUCCAUUCAAUUGGUCUGAAAGAAUUCCAUCUGUACAUGCUCCAUGCCUCACAUUAACAUCCAGGAAACACCAGAU
This 405-nucleotide unclassified non-coding RNA is filed under the name Hevea brasiliensis (rubber tree). Lineage: Eukaryota; Viridiplantae; Streptophyta; Magnoliopsida; Malpighiales; Euphorbiaceae. The record is from RNAcentral.